Molecule: ribosomal RNA, 253 nt
Filed under: uncultured bacterium
Lineage: Bacteria
Description: partial 16S ribosomal RNA
Rfam family: Bacterial small subunit ribosomal RNA
Source: RNAcentral
UACGUAGGGCGCAAGCGUUAAUCGGAAUUACUGGGCGUAAAGCGCGCGUAGGUGGUUUGUUAAGUUGAAUGUGAAAUCCCCGGGCUCAACCUGGGAACUGCAUCCAAAACUGGCAAGCUAGAGUAUGGUAGAGGGUGGUGGAAUUUCCUGUGUAGCGGUGAAAUGCGUAGAUAUAGGAAGGAACACCAGUGGCGAAGGCGACCACCUGGACUGAUACUGACACUGAGGUGCGAAAGCGUGGGGAGCAAACAGG